GUGCUUGCUUCGGCAGCACACCUACUAAAAUUGGGACAAUACAGAGAAGAUUAGCAUGGCCCCUGCACAAGGAUGACAUGCAAAUUCACAAAGUGUUCCGUAUUUAA
Molecule: small nuclear RNA, 107 nt
Organism: Leptonychotes weddellii (Weddell seal)
Lineage: Eukaryota; Metazoa; Chordata; Mammalia; Carnivora; Phocidae
Source: RefSeq, a predicted model, not a curated record